CCCACCCCACCCCCGUGUGACUGGCCCAGCCGGCCUCCUCUGGGUCUCUAGUAGUUUCCGUGCAGCUGACGCAUGCUUGCGCGCACAGCUGGGCCGGGCGCGUCCUACGCAGCAGCCGCGAGCCGGGCAGCGGGUGCCAGACGGUUCCCGGCGGGGGGCAGGGGCGGGGCGCCGCAGGAGCUCAGGGACUCCAGGCGGAGGAGCCCCAAGGAGGCCCGCCUGACUACUGACGAGUUGCCAUGGCAUCCUACUACGAGAUCCUAGACGUGCCGCGAAGUGCGUCCGCUGAUGACAUCAAGAAGGCGUAUCGUCGGAAGGCUCUACAGUGGCACCCAGACAAGAAUCCAGAGAAUAAAGAGUUUGCCGAGAGGAAGUUCAAGGAGGUGGCCGAGGCAUAUGAAGUGCUGUCGGACAAGCAUAAGCGAGAGGUCUAUGACCGCUAUGGCCGGGAAGGGCUGACUGGAGCAGGAACUGGCCCAUCUCGGGCGGAAGCUGGCAGUGGUGGGCCUGGCUUCACCUUUACCUUUCGCAGCCCUGAGGAGGUCUUCCGGGAAUUCUUCGGGAGUGGAGACCCUUUUUCAGAGCUCUUUGACGACCUGGGUCCUUUCUCAGAGCUCCAGAACCGGGGUUCCCGACACUCGGGCCCCUUCUUCACCUUCUCUUCCUCCUUCCCUGGACACUCUGAUUUCUCUUCCUCAUCUUUCUCCUUCAGUCCUGGGGCUGGUGCUUUUCGCUCUGUUUCUACGUCCACCACCUUUGUCCAAGGACGCCAAAUCACGACGCGCAGAAUCAUGGAGAACGGGCAGGAACGGGUGGAAGUGGAGGAGGACGGGCAGCUGAAGUCAGUCACAAUCAAUGGUGUUCCAGAUGACCUGGCGCUGGGCUUGGAGCUGAGCCGUCGUGAGCAGCAACAGUCCGUCACCCCUAGAUCCAGGGGCAUGCAGGUGCGGCAGACUCCUGCCUCACGCCCCUCCGACAGCGACCUCUCUGAGGAUGAUGAGGACCUGCAGCUUGCCAUGGCUUACAGCCUGUCAGAGAUGGAGGCAGCUGGGAAGAAUCCGGCAGGUGGGCGGGAGGUGCAGCGUCGAUGGCUGGGGCUGCUCAAGGCCCAGUACCACGAUCCGGGCAUGGGGGGUACCCAUGAGGGCGCAAGGGGUGAGGCAGCCAAACCCAGCUCAGCCCCGGAGGAGAAGGCCUCUCGCUGCCUCAUCCUCUGAUCGCCAGGCCCAACCCACCCCGAUUCAGGCUGACCUGGGGUCCUGCUUGCUGUUGGGAGAGCAGAGAGGGGUUUAUUAGAUGGGGGGUUUCUAAGGGGCAUCAGUGGUUUGAGGCGGGCCUUUUGUGCCCAGGUCUUCUGCCACCUGUGUUGCUGAUGAUGUCAAGGAAGGAGGACUUGGCCUGGGGUUCUCUGAGCCUGAAUUAGCAGCUACAGUGGGGAGUCUCAGCUCUCCUGGUCCAGCUGCAGACACCCCACCCUGGUUUCUGUGCAGUGUUGAGCUCUGACCGUCUCUGUUGCUUCCCUUCUGGUGCUGCUUCUCCUUCCUCACACUCUCCUCUCUGCAAGUCCCCGUGGGCCGCACCGCUUGCUUUCACUGCCGUCUGGCUAGGACUCCCUUCUUCCUUCUCUGAGAAGGCCUCAGUGUGGCGAGGAAGAUACUGUGGCCGAUAGGGCCAUAAGGUCUUCCGGGGAGGCUAGCUGGGUGGGGCGGGAGCCUCUCUGCCGUCCAGAUUCGGAACCGGAGCCCACUCCUCCUCCCUUCCUCUCGCUGCCUCAGCCUCAGGACUAGGCAGAGAUGUGUUCUGAGCUGGAUGUCCGGGAUCCAGAGUUGCUGCACAGUUCCAACAGGACAGCGCCCACCUCUGUGCGCUGGGAAGGGGACCCUCCAUUCCUCACCCUCACCCGUGCAGAGCAUAGAGCUGGGCCUGGGUGGUGGGUGGGGACUAGGCGGGAAGUGUCAGUAGUCUUAGCUUGUAAACUCUUACCUGGGUGUUUGAUAUUGUCUCUUGGGGACUACAAGUCCCAGAAUGCAAUGUACUAUGCCUCAUUUCUGAUUGAUCAUGCUUGGAGGAAGUGGUUCUUGGUUGUGGAGCUGUGCAUCUUGGGACAUGUAGUUCUAGCCCAGGUUGGCCUGUUACUCGCUGUGAGAUGUGGAGAUCUUACCAUCUGAUUUGUCCCUGGCAGGGGUGGUGAGAAUGUGGAUGAAGGGGUAAUGGCCCGAGCUUCCAUUCCCUUGACGUCUCUUGCUAGCGCUGGGGUUAGAGUGUGCAAAACAAACCCUUGUGGUAUCCGGGUGAAGCUCUUUUCCUGUGGGCAGUACUAGGGUCUGGGGAACAAAUUUGGGCAAGAUGCUAAGCAGGGUGUAGACCCAGAAAGCUGAUGGGGUUGGCCGGCAGAGAGCUUGAAAGAAAGGACCUGUGUGUGUGUGUGUGGCUGGGAUUGGCAUGUGACACGUCCUCUGGGCAUGUUGCUGCUUAUAUGGCUUUUUUGGCCUCUGACCCUGAUACCCAUUCUCUCUCCAACACCACAGCUGAGCUGCCUCUCCUCCUCCCUGCCUGGGGAGCCCAGUAGCCAGGGAGGGGAGUGGUGGAGCCAGGAUGUUGGCAGAUCCUAUGACACUAUCUCAGACCUAUCAAAGCCAGCUGGGCUGAGCUCAGAUCAGAGGGAAACACUGGAAGUCAAUAAAGCUGAGUUUUGAGA
Pteropus alecto (black flying fox) is the source of this 2698-nucleotide RNA transcript. It is a transcript of the gene named DnaJ heat shock protein family (Hsp40) member B2, with no coding region annotated. NCBI's taxonomy places the organism in Eukaryota, Metazoa, Chordata, Mammalia, Chiroptera, Pteropodidae. The transcript is spliced from 10 exons. The record is from RefSeq and is a predicted model, not a curated record.